RNAcentral lists this ribosomal RNA (102 nucleotides) under Harpegnathos saltator (Jerdon's jumping ant). The record is from RNAcentral. Lineage: Eukaryota; Metazoa; Arthropoda; Insecta; Hymenoptera; Formicidae.
GUCAACGGUCAUACCACGCUGAAAACACCAGUUCUCGUCCGAUCACUGCAGUUAAGCAGCGUUGGGCACGGUUAGUACUUGGCAAAUUUUGCAGCGGUGCUG